Molecule: ribosomal RNA, 453 nt
Filed under: uncultured soil bacterium
Lineage: Bacteria
Description: bacterial SSU rRNA
Rfam family: Bacterial small subunit ribosomal RNA
Source: RNAcentral
AGAUUGAACGCUGGCGGCAUGCCUUACACAUGCAAGUCGAACGGCAGCACGGGAGCAAUCCUGGUGGCGAGUGGCGAACGGGUGAGUAAUAUAUCGGAACGUGCCCAGUCGUGGGGGAUAACGCAGUGAAAGCUGUGCUAAUACCGCAUACGAUCUAUGGAUGAAAGCGGGGGACUCGCAAGAGCCUCGCGCGAUUGGAGCGGCCGAUAUCAGAUUAGCUAGUUGGUGGGGUAAAGCCCACCAAGGCGACGAGCUGUAGCUGGUCUGAGAGGACGACCAGCCACACUGGAACUGAGACACGGUCCAGACUCCUACGGGAGCAGCAGUGGGGAAUUUUGGACAAGUGGGCGCAAGCCUGAUCCAGCAAUGCCGCGUGCAGGAUGAAGGCCUUCGGUUAGUAAACGUGUCGUUUUGGUACGGUAACGUAAAGGUCCUUUACGUAAUACGAACGGG